UUUCCCAGUUGACUAUCAAUUUUUCUCUAAAUAGAUUUUAGUGGCUAUACUUAUGGGAUAAAUGAAAAUUGCCAUGAUCUGAAGAGGGAGGAUUUUGUAUGUGUGUACAGCCAUAUGAAACGUAUGGACAGAAAACU
RNAcentral lists this small nucleolar RNA (137 nucleotides) under Dasypus novemcinctus (nine-banded armadillo). RNAcentral's name for it is "Small nucleolar RNA SNORA29 (ENSDNOG00000037180.1)". It matches the Rfam family "Small nucleolar RNA SNORA29". From Rfam's summary of the family: ACA29 is a member of the H/ACA class of snoRNA that guide the sites of modification of uridines to pseudouridines. Lineage: Eukaryota; Metazoa; Chordata; Mammalia; Cingulata; Dasypodidae. The record is from RNAcentral.